RNAcentral lists this long non-coding RNA (2148 nucleotides) under Nicotiana benthamiana. RNAcentral's name for it is "long non-coding RNA (NBEN_LNC030775)". Lineage: Eukaryota; Viridiplantae; Streptophyta; Magnoliopsida; Solanales; Solanaceae. The record is from RNAcentral.
AUCUUGUUCUAAUAUACUUGGAUACUUGCAAGCCCAAAUCCAAAACACAUAACCCAAAAUCAAGUUUAUUUUUCAACAAAAUUGAGGAAGAAAAUUCUUCAGAUAACAUAAAAAAGCGCCGAGGAAAUAAAUUAGGGUAUUACCUGCUGAAGUUGUUUUUUCAUAAGUAGAGAGAUACGAAGCGAAUUGUUCAACUCCAACUUCAUCUCCUCCACUUUGCAUUUUUUAAAAUCAAACUACUUAAGAUUCGAACAAAACUACCCAAAUAUUUCUGGAUUCCUGAUGACGAAGUCGAGUUCCAGGUGUGCGUCGGAGGAAGAGAGCGGAAGAAUUGUCGAAGAAUGUGACUUUUCAAUAAGAGAAGCAACUUUUCAACAGGGAAAGCAACUUUUGGGUACAUUUCUUUUAAACUAUUACGGUAAAUUCAAUUUUGAAGGCAAAUAAAUGGAAAAAUAGAUAAACAGUCGUUCCUGCCCUAAAUGAUGCCACGUCAUCUCUCUUAGGUCCCUCAAUUAUAAUUAUAUACAAAUUGGAUGUGUUUAGUAAGAAGAAAAAUACUAUUCAAAAAAUAUUUUUUAAUUUUUUUUAUAUUUGAUAAACUUAAAUAUUUUGAAAACUAUUUACUAAAAGAUAAAUAGGUCAAAAAUAUAGGUAAAAAAAGAAUGAACAAUUUGGACAUUAAUUGAAAAAUAUCAGUGUUUGCAAAGUAUUUAAAAAUUGCCACUAUUUAAUCCGGAGAAAAAUUUAAACAAAAAUAUCCUUCACUAAAUCACAAAAAAUCUAGAAUAAUAUGCUAGAUUAUGAAACUCCUUCGUAUAAAAUUCUAGCAUAUUAUACUUGAUUCCAGCACAUAAUGCUAGAAUUUUAUAUAUAAAAAAAAUUAUACUCCAACAUACUAUGCUGGAUUAUUCCAGAUUUUAACUAAGCAUAAUUUUUGUCUACAAACUGAUGAUUCACCUAUUCCCUUCUCUAGUGAGGAAUGGAGUCAGGGAUGCCCAACUCAAGAUAAGUCCUAAGAUGUUGUUAAAGUAUCCUUAAUAGCAUCUCCUUUUCUAGAAUCUUGGUUUGGAAAUCUUUGGUGAAUCAACACAGGUUCUUUUGUAAUUAGGUCGUUCCCCCCGUAUUAACUCCUUCAAUAAGUCAGUAAAUUAGUAAGUCCAUCAAUUUUUAGUGUAUAGUAAUAGUCUCACCACCUCGUAAACUAGUUCAGUAAUAAGUGAGUAGAAUAUGUGCUUUGGUGGGCCCAGUCAUCCAGUAAGAAGAAGUAGUUUCGCCAAGAAUGCACACAAGCUGCUCAGAAAGAGCACAACUCUAACUAAAAAAGGGCUAAAUUUUGAUGAAUUGUAGAAUUAUGACUAAUAUUUAAAUAGCAAAUCAGGCUAAUACUCAAUUUCUUUCAAAAGAUAUAGGAAAGAAGGAAAUACAGUUAGCUCUUUGUUUCAUUUAUGUUAUAGGCAUCAUUAAAUAGGCAAAUACAAAAUAGCAGCAAAAGAAUUUGGAAUUUUUCACUUUUAGUGUGUUCCAAAAACUAUUUAUAUUUGGUAGCCGAAAAGUAUAUAAACUUUAUAUAAUUUUUGCAUAUAACAUAUAAAAUAUACACAUAUAUAUAAAUAUUUUUUUAGGAGCAAUUAUACAUGGUCAUUUUCCAAAAGAAAUUUAAAUCAAAGGAACAAUCCAAGCCUGAAUCAAUCCACAAUAUAAAAAAAGCUCCAACCUAAUUAAGUAGAAACACUACGGAGGACGACCGCCUCAAUGGUUAUCCCAGGUCCAAAACCAAAAAGGACACCCCACUCCAGCCCUUCACCGGUGGUACCCAAUCCUUCCUUAACAGAGGCUUUCCUCAUCUCGUCCAAAACAAAAAAAACAAAGGCACUGCUCAUGUUCCCAUAUUCACUCAGGACAUGCCUUGUAGCCUUGAGUUUUUCAGGCUUUAGACCCAAUUUUAAUUCAAUUUGAUCCAAAAUUGCACGUCCACCUGCAUGAGAUACCCAAAAUAUGGAGUUCCAAUCAAAAAUACCCAAAGGCUGGAAUGCUCCCACUAGAAUCUUCUCUAUGUCUUUUGAUAUUAGCAUUGGAGUAUCCUUAUGUAUUUCUCCUAUCAAUCCAGCCUCAUUGAGAUUACCAGUAAUUGCAUGUCCACUAUCCGGG